GAUGAACGCUGGCGGCGUGCUUAACACAUGUAAGUCGAACGGAAAGGCUCCUGCUUGCAGGGGUACUCGAGUGGCGAACGGGUGAGUAACACGUGGGUGAUCUGCCCUGCACUUCGGGAUAAGCCUGGGAAACUGGGUCUAAUACCGGAUAGGACGAUGGUUUGGAUGCCAUUGUGGAAAGUUUUUUCGGUGUGGGAUGAGCUCGCGGCCUAUCAGCUUGUUGUUGGGGUAAUGGCCUACCAAGGCGUCGACGGGUAGCCGGCCUGAGAGGGUGUACGGCCACAUUGGGACUGAGAUACGGCCCAGACUCCUACGGGAGGCAGCAGUGGGGAAUAUUGCACAAUGGGCGCAAGCCUGAUGCAGCGACGCCGCGUGGGGGAUGACGGCCUUCGGGUUGUAAACUCCUUUCGCUAGGGACGAAGCGCAAGUGACGGUACCUGGAGAAGAAGCACCGGCUAACUACGUG
This 466-nucleotide ribosomal RNA is filed under the name uncultured bacterium. RNAcentral describes it as "partial 16S ribosomal RNA". It matches the Rfam family "Bacterial small subunit ribosomal RNA", at positions 28 to 507 of the family's 1533-position model. The record is from RNAcentral.